CUCCCCAUCUCUGAGCUGCCAGAUGGAACCCACGUGCAGAGUGGCUGCAACAUGGAGAAUGGGUUGGAGGGACACAAGAGGGGCAGUGGAGAGACCACUUCAGAGGUAACUGUCAUGGUUCAGAGAAGAGAUGGUUUGGACUAGGAUGGGAUAGUGAAGAUGACGAAAACUGUAGACUCAAGAGGUACUUAGGAAAACGGAGAGAUACUGGUGGUGGUUUGGCCAUGAAGACUGGGGGACACAGGUGUCAAAGGACCUGCUAGGUUUCUGAGUUACCCAGCUGAACGGAUGGUGGUAUCUUUCCCUGAGAUGGUGAACACCAAAGGAUGACCAGGGUUGGGUGGAGGAGGGGAAAAUAUCCUGUUUGGCCUUAGUUAGAGGCUGAGGUGCCUUUGAGAUGUCCCAGUGAAGAGGCUGAGCACUUGGAUAUCAAGAGGUGAAUAAGCUGAAGAUACUUAUUUGGGAGGGAGAAAAGUAGAUGGUAGCUUGAGGACAUGGAUAAAACUGCCAAGAAGGAAGAGUAUUAAGUAAGAAAAGAGCCCAGCCUGUGUCUUAAGGACACUAAUAUUCAAUGGCCAGGUAAAGGAGGAUAAACCUGGAAUAGAGGGUGAACAGAGAAAGAGCAUUGUUGUGCCUUGCAAUGAAUGGAGAAGAGUGUUUCCAGAAGCAAGAGAAUGUUUGGAUGCUGCUGGAAAAUCUAAAAGAAGAGUAGAAUGAAAAAUGCACUUUGGAUUUAGUGUCCUGAAGGUCACCUCACCAGUGAUUUUAGGGAGUGCUGUUUCGGUGAAGUGAGGCAGGUAGAGGCCAGGCUGUCAUGGACAGGAGGCAUGUGAGGUGUGAGGAAAGAGACAGUGCUCUGGAGAUGUUUGACCAUGGUUGAGAGGAGGGUGGGGCAGUAGCUGCAGUAAGACAUGGAGUCAAAGAAAGGGGCUUUUGUUGUUUUUUAAGGUAAGUGAGAUUCAAGCAUGUUUAAAUGUUGAUAAGCAGAAUCCUGUUCAGAUGAGAGGUUGACAAUGCCUGAGAAAACAGGGACAACAAACAUAAAAGUGUUUUUGACAAACCAGGAGGGCUUGCCAGGGCCCCUCAGCAGGGUAGGGCUCAGAGGGAACAUCUCUAAUCCUUUGAAGCUGGCUCCUGGGCACUAGGCUGGCUGUGGCACUGCCUCUGAGUGCUCUAUAUGCCCCACAGCCAAGGCCAGCGCCCUUGGAUGGCCAAGUACAUGUACCUUAUGGAUCUUAUUCAACCCUAGUUGAGGAUGGCAGGGGUUAGAGAUGACUGGACAGACCAUGGUGGGCCAUGAUGUCCUAAACAAGGGUGCUACAUCCCUGGAAGAAGAGCCAUGGGCCUCUAGGCCUAUUGUGGACAUUAAGCCCAUUGCCAGUGACAGGAUGCCUGGAGCCCUGCUGGAUGACAUCCCUAAGUCCAGGGUCCCCAGAUUCCUCCAUUCCAGCUUGGCAAGGCCAUUUUGGCUCUACUGGCAUGGGACACUUCCAGGCAUACCACAGGGCAGUGGUUCUCAGAGGACGGCCUCUAGACUAGGAGUAUCAGCAUUACCUAGAAACUUGUUGGAAAUGCAAACUCUGAGGCCCCACCACAGAUCUAUCAAAUCGAAAACUCUGGCAGUAGGGUCCAGCAGUCUGUGUGUAACAAAGUUUCCAAGUGACUUUGAGGCACCACUUCUAUAAGGUAUCAAGCUGUUCAUCCCUCCAUUUGCUGUCCAUCCAGUAACCUAAAAUUCACACAUCCACCAAUCUAAACAGCCAUCAUCCAACUGUCCAUUUCUCAAUGUAAUUCAACCAUCUGUCUUAGUCAGUCUGAGCUGCUACAACAGGACAUCCACAGACUGGGUGGCUUAUAAUCAACAGAAAUGUAUUUCUUGCCGUUCUGAAGGUUGGAAAGUCCAAAAUUAAGGCACUAACAGAUCUGGUGUCUGGUGAGGGUCUGCUUCCUGGCUCACAGAGAACUAGCUAUCAACAAUCCAUGUUCACAUUCUGUCCAGCCACCUGUGCCUAUCUAUCUAAUCUGAUGUAGUCUAGUCUAUCAUCAGCCUAAAUAGUCAUCAUCCUAAACAUUCCUUUAUUUAUGUUACAUACAUCUACUCACUAUCCUCACAACUCAUUUAUAAUACAAAGGAAUGUCUAAGUUCUGGUACCCACCAUACCCACCUCCCCUUUCUAAGGAAAAUGGACACAAACAUUUCUUUCUGCUUAAAGUUUCAGGAUCAUAUCAUGUGUAUUAAGUGAAAUCAGUUCUAUUUCUCUGGGCAGCAACCCUGACUGGACAAGGGGCAGGUUCUUGGGGUUCCUCAACUAAAGGCAACUGUGUUUGUAUGUGUAUAAUCUUAACAUAUAUACACACACAUAUAUAUAUAGUAGCUUAUGUAUUACACACAUAUAUGAUAUAUUCUAUAGAUAUAGAUCUGUCAGACAUAUGCGUACAUAUAUAACUUCAAUAGCUUGCCAUAAAACUCUGCCCAAAUGAGGUUCUCUGUACUGGAUGGUGACAGACUUAGCCAGUCAUAAACAUUCUCUUCCUUCAUUUUCUUCCUUGGAGAGUGUGAAUGUUUGGUCUCACUGAGAAGUCAGGUCACUUCAAGCUCCAGUUCUAUCCUAACAAUGGUAAGCUAUGUUCCAGUUUUCAAUUAAGCCUGCUGAAUAUACCUGCCUUGAAAGAGUGGGAUUUAGAGUGACCUUACAGUUCAGACAGAAACAGCUUUGCUGCUGGGCGUGACUCUCAACCCUGCAUUUAGCCCUCAUUAUCCAAGACAAAUGUCAAGCUGCCUCUGCUGGAGGGUGGAGCUAGACAGCCACACUAUACCACGUAUCCUCCUUGUCCACAGCUGAUUUGAGCAGGGCCACCUCACCAGAGGGAGGUCGCACCCAUAUCCCAUCCAUCAGCAAAUCCUGAUUACCUUCAAAAUACGUCCUAAACUGGACCACUUAUCACUGCCCUCACCACUGCCACCCUGGUCCAAGCCACCAACAUCUCUCACCUGGAUUUCUGCAGUUGCCUCCUAAGUGGUCUCCCUGUCUGUCUCCCUUUCCCACCUUGUCCCUUUCAGUCUAUUCUCAUCACGGCAGCCAGAGAGGUCCUUUUUAAAAUCUAAGAUCAUGUCAUUUCUCUGUUGAAUAUCCUCUAAUGCCUCCCCUCCUUCUUGGAGUAAAAGUCUAAGUCCUCACAAUGGCUUGUAACACAAUUCAUGAUCUGUCCUCUGCUACCCGUCUGACCUCAUCUUCCACCAUCCUCCCCAUGUUCACACAACAUCAGCCACACCAGCCUCACUGAUGUUCCUCACACAGUGCCACACAGUUCCCACCUCAGGACCACUGCACUUGCCACGCCCUCUUCCUAGAGCAUUCUUCCCCCAGAUAUCUUCACGGCUCACCCCCUCAAUUUCUUCAGAUCUCUGCUCAAAUAUGACCAUAUCAGGGACACCCCCUCUGAGUAUCCUAUAUGCAGCAGAAACCCAACCCCUCCCCAAACUGCUCCCUGCUUUAUUUUUUCCAUAGCAUUUAACGUCAGCACACAUGUAACUGCCUACUGUCUCUCUCUCCUCAUUAGAAAGUAUGCUUCAUAAAUGCAGCAACUUUGUUUUGCUUGCUAUUUUUCAACACGUAGGAGCUUUGUUGAGGUACAAACAGUCACAUAAAUAAGCACUUGGUAAAAACUUGUAGAAGGAAUGAGUAAGAGUGGCUGAGAGUAGACCAUGAGCAAGAAAAUCGAGCAGAGGGAGCCUGCUGAGACAGGAAUGAGUACAGAGAAAUGUGAGAAAGAGAGGAACCUUGAGGUCCUCGGGAGACGGAGAGAAGAGCCACCGUUCCUGACUUUCCAGUUCCAAUCUUCAUGAGGCCUGAAUGUCAGUGCUCUCUGCAAGGUUGUCCACUGUAUUCUCACAAUUGUACUCCUCAUUCUUGAAAACAUUUGGAGUUUUCUUUGUUCCUUGCAACAAAAACAACCUUGACUUGAGCAGUAUCCUUCCAACCAUCCAUCCACCCAUCUCUCCAACCCUACAUGCCCUCCUAAUCAUUUAUACUUCUUUUUU
This 4042-nucleotide long non-coding RNA is filed under the name Homo sapiens (human). RNAcentral's name for it is "HSALNT0361285". Lineage: Eukaryota; Metazoa; Chordata; Mammalia; Primates; Hominidae. The record is from RNAcentral.